GUAGGGAAUAUUCCGCAAUGGGCGAAAGCCUGACGGAGCAACGCCGCGUGAGUGAAGAAGGUCUUCGGAUCGUAAAGCUCUGUCAACAGGGACGAAACAAGACGGUACCUGAGAAGGAAGCCACGGCAAACUACGUGCCAGCAGCCGCGGUCAUACGUAGGUGGCAAGCGUUGUCCGGAAUAACUGGGCGUAAAGCGCAUGUAGACGGCAUGAUAAGCCAAAUGUGAAAUGUAGGGGCUCAACCCCUACACUGCGAUUGGAACAGUCAAGCGUGAGUGCAGGAGAGGCAAAUGGAAUUCCCAGUGUAGCAGUGAAAUGCGUAGAGAUUGGGAGGAACACCAGUGGCGAAGGCGAUUUGCUGGACUGCAACUGACGUUGAGAUGCGAAAGCCAGGGGAGCAAACAGGAUUAGAAACCCCGGUAGUCC
RNAcentral lists this ribosomal RNA (426 nucleotides) under uncultured bacterium. RNAcentral's name for it is "partial 16S ribosomal RNA". It matches the Rfam family "Bacterial small subunit ribosomal RNA", at positions 354 to 796 of the family's 1533-position model. The record is from RNAcentral.